AGCUGUCAGGGGUUACAUG
Molecule: microRNA, 19 nt
Filed under: Murid gammaherpesvirus 4 (Murine herpesvirus 68)
Lineage: Duplodnaviria; Heunggongvirae; Peploviricota; Herviviricetes; Herpesvirales; Orthoherpesviridae
Description: mghv-miR-M1-11-5p
Gene: mghv-miR-M1-11-5p
Source: miRBase by way of RNAcentral